UUGAACUUGAGUUUGUGUCUGUUUGAACUUGAGUUUUGGUGUUUGUUUGAACUUGAGUUAGUGGUGUUUUUGAACCUGAGUUUUGUCGUGUUUGAACUUGAGUUUGUGGUGUUUGUUGAACUUGAAUUUGUGUGUUUUUUAACUUGAGUUUUUGUGUGUUUUUGAACUUGAGUUUUAUGUGUUGUUUGAACUUGAGUUUUUGGUGGUUUUGAACUUGAGUUUGUGUUUUGUUGAACUUGAGUUUUCUGCAUUUGUUGAACUUGAGUUUGUGUCCUGUUUGAACUUGAGUUUGUGUUGUGUUUGAACUUGAGUUAGUGGUGUUUUUGAACUUGAGUUUGUUUCGUGUUUGAACUUGAGUUUGUGGCGUUUGUUGAACUUGAGUUUGUGUCGUGUUUGAACAUGAGUUUGUGGUGUUUUUGAACUUGAUUUGUGGUGUUUUUGAACUUGAGGUUUGGAAUAUGUUAAAUUGAGAAUUGGGUGUUGGUUGAACUUGAUAUGUGUUUGUCGUGUUUGAACUUGAGUUUGUGUUGUUUGGUGAACUUGAGUUUGUGUGUUUUUUGAACUUGAGGUUGUGUCGUGUUUGAACUUGAGUAUGUGGUGUUUUUGAACUUGAGUCGGUGUUGUUUUUGAACUUGAGGUUGUGGAAAUUUUUAAACUUGAGAAUUGGGUAUUGGUUGAACUUGAGUUUUUGGUGUUUUUGAAUUUGAGUUUGUGUCCUGUUUGAACUUGAGUUUGUGGUGUUUUUGAACUUGAAUUUGCGUGUUUGGUAAACUUGAAUUCGUGUGUUGUUUGAACUUGAAUUUCUGUUGGUUUGAACCUGGGGUUGUGGAAUUGUUAAACUUGAGAAUCAGGUGUUGGUUGAACUUGAGUUUGUGUGUUUGUAGAACUUGAGUUUGUGUUUGUUGAACUUGAGUUUGUGUUGUGUUUGAACUUGAGUUUUUGUUGUUUUUGAGCUUGAGUUUGUGUCGUGUUUUCUUGCGUGUUGCUCAAUGGCUGAAACGCAUCGCUCUUCCGGCAACGCCGUAAGGAGGAGCAACUUGCCAUUUGGAUAUAUCCUAGCUGUGUUUGUGCCCUCACUCAUUGUCCAGAGUUUUUUUUUAAAUAGGACAUGUAGUUUGUCUGCAGCGAGCGUUUUGGUAGAAACUGCGCCUCCCAUUCAUUAUAAUGGGAAAUGACCAAAGACAGGUGCGCACACCAUCUUUGGACCUUGACUGUGACGUCACAGUUUGAGAUACAAAUGUUAUUUGACCUCUGACCUUUUGUGGAGACCCUAACCUUUUCAACCCGUGAAAACGGCGUUUCAAUAGCUCUUACGGCUUUCCUACAAAUACACUUUGUUGGGCUGCUCCUACUGUCUUUCAAGCUCUGCUUCACAGAUCAUCAAAGAGUGUGCACGUUUGUAAUGAGCGCAUAUUGAAUGUUAAUUAUGUUAACUAUGUUAAUUAUUAGAAGAAAUAACAACAACAGUCUUUUUGGACAAAAUUUCUUUUUAUUAAAGAAUUAGAAUAAUGGAAGCAUAGUCCAAUGAAACCAUUCAAGUGAUGUCAAACCUCAUAAUUUAUUAAAAUGUAGGCAAGUCUGGGCAUUUCUUCAUUCAUCAGGUUUCCUGCAUGCAUACUAACAGAGCACAUCAGUAACAGUGAAUGAUAAGUAUGAGUAUGUCAUUGUGUAAGAAAAGAAAGUGGUUAACUUACACAUCCAUAGAAAAUAGGUGGUUGAGCACAGCACGCAAACAAAGCUUUGCCACGACGGUGGAACUUCCCAAGUAGCCGAUACCAAGAUAACACAAUCAGGGUAAGCAAAGGUCAAACCAGGCCAGGCACUCAUGAGGCUGGCUGUGGCAAGUGUAAGUGAAAGCGACACACACUGGCAGGAAGAACAGCAAACGCGGAUGAAGGAAAAGGAUCUUUGCAGUGAUGGCCGUUACCAGAGGACAGAGGACGCGUCAGAGGACGCGUCAGAGGACGCGAAUGGGAUGGGGAGGGGAGGCGAUUGCGUUGGGGGGGCGCGCGACACAGCUCGGGCCCGACAGUGCCCCAACGGGGCCCUAGUAUUAUUAUUAUUAUUAUUAUUAUUAUUAUUAUUAUUAUUAUUAUUAUUAUAUAUUAUUGUUGUUAUAAAUAUUAUAAAUAUUUGUUGUUAUAAAAAGUUUUCUCAACUUUGCCUUGCUUCAUUCUUUAACAUGCAGUCAUGAAGUAACAUAACUAGGUUGCAGUGCUUCAAUGUAUAAACUUAACUUUACCCUUGUGCACCCCUUAAAAUUUAAUGACACUUGUUACCCUCGUGUGGGCUAACAAAUAACAAUAAUAAUAAUAAUAAUGAUAAUGAUCUUGUUAUAUGAUAUAGCAUGUUUUUGCAGGUGCGUAAAAACUGACCGUGUGUGUGUGUGUAUCUUGCAGUACUCUGAGGAGAAUGAGAAGCAGGACACAGACACAGCUAUGGAGACAUUCUUGUACUUUUAUGUAGGACUUUUGCUCAAUAGUUGUUUGUGGCGGCUCUGAAAAGAGCCAUUGUGGGGGUGCAGCACACUAGAUGGAAUCCUGCCAUGGGACCGCUCCUUCAGCUGAGAAGUGCUCGGUAAAGGUCUGCCUGACUGCGAUGGCCUCCCGGGACAAGUUGUUUGACGCGAGACGUCCCAGCCCUGCCUGAGGUUCCUCACCACCCGUGAUGGCACCCAACCUCAUGGCAGCUUCAGGCUGAGACCUACGCAGGAAGUUAUGAAGGACACAGGUGGCCUUCACACACUUCUCUGCAACGUCCGGAGAAACCCCAAGGGCACGUCGGUACAUCCUCCACUGAGUGGAAAGAAUGCCAUAGGCAUUUUCAACCACCAGCCGCGCCCUGGACAGCCGGUAGUUGAAAAUGCGCUUCUCUCUGGGGAGGAUGCACCCUGGAUACGGCCUCAUGAGGUUCCUCCGGAGAGGGAAGGCCUCAUCUGCGACAAACACAUAAGGUUGGGGUCCCCUGUGCUCAGCUUCAGGCAGUGAUCGAUCCGGAGGCAGUUGGAGGGAGCAAGAACAGAGUGCCUGACCAAACGCAGAGUUGGCCAGAAUCCACCCGUCACUGGUCCUCCCGAAGCCUCCGACAUCGAUCACUCGGAAGCAAUAAUUGGCAUCUACAACUGCCAAGAGAACAAUAGAAAAUGUUCCCUUAUAGUUAUAAAACUGUGAUCCUGAAUUGGCAGGAGCCUUCAGAAACACGUGCUUCCCAUCCACAGCACCACAACACAAGGGGAAGUUCCACCGCUCCUAAAACCCUGUGCUAUGGAUAUCCACUCAUCACAGGUGGGCACAGCCAUGAAGUCCUCCACCAAGCACUCCCAGAUGCAGGACACAGUGUCUGCCACGAUGCCUGACACGGUGGAAACUCCAACUCGAAAACUGUAGGCAAUGGUCCUGAAGGAGUCUCCAGUAGCCAGGAACCUAAAGCACAUAAAAAUAAAUUUCAUUGCUAUUUUUAUUCAAAAUAUGAGGCCAUAUGAAAUACAAACAUAACCGAAGACUUGAGUGUCCAUAAAUCCUCUUUGACACGGACAUUUAUGCUAGCACCCGGUGUAUAGUGUCUAGUAUCUGAAGUAGUAUCUGAAGUAGCAUGCUACUCGCUCUGGUGGCCAAUUCGGACAUGCUACAUACUACUUCGACUACUACUUGGCAAUUUGGACGCAGCACCGGUGUGAAUGAACCAGGGCGCGACGCAACGCUACGUGAGCGACCUACACGACUAGGUCACUUCAAGUCGCAUUUGGUCUGAACCAUAGGCUGUAUAUAGAAUGGACAGAGUCUGCCUCCUCGCUGGGUGAAGCCACUCCGAGAACAGCACCCUCUGUUGGUGGGCUGCAGUACAGGUCAUAAAUCCCAUGGACAAGGCAAUGGCAUUGGACAAACUUCAGAAAUUUGUUACACAGAGCAUACAUUUUUCUCCCCCCUUGUUGUGAUGUUGACAUGUAGUUACAGUAAGACUAGUUUGUGCUCAAAUCCUCUUUUUUCUGUGAAGCUCCAUUUUUAAAAGUUAUUAGGGGGUUCAUGUUUUCUAUGACUGACACCUGAUACAGCCUAUUGGCGUUCAGGGAUUGCGUAGCUCUCCCAGGAGGGAUACGCUGUUUGAGCCAAGCAUCAUCACAGUGACUCUCGGCGACUGCGCGGCCGAAUGCGCGCAUCGCUACUGCGCAGCGCUGGUUUCAGGAAAUUAAGAAAAAUCCCGGGAAUAUUGAGAGCUUUUUGGGUUCAAAUCCGUAUACAGGUGGUAGGUGGAACCAAGUUGUCCAUAGUAUAUACAGUCUAUGGUCUGAACGCGGCUUUAGACAAUCAGUCAUUUUGUGUGUGACAGAAGUGACAGGAAAUCAACAAUGUGUCUACAGCCCUCUGGGAAAACAGGAGGAUGUGAGAGAAGGAGAGGGCAAGCUCAGAGGAAGAGGAGAUGGACAAAGAGCGUGAGAAAGAGUGAUGUCAUUGGUUCUGCUGGGAACGAAGUAGAGGAAUCAAGAAAACAGAGAAGAUCGGAGGGAAAAAUCUCCAUGGACAAGGUUAAUGGGCUGCUUCAGUUUUUAGUUUUUCAAUUUUGAAUGAAAAAAAGUUAUCAGCUGGUCUCUGCUAAAAUCCUGAUAAAUACCAACUCUCAUGUGCCGAGCAGCUCUGCUGACUGGUCACUGAUUGGUCUAAUCUUAUGACAUCAUGAGAGAGGCAUGUGGGUCAGUGAAUAUUCACACUCAUUAGCAGGACGCUCCAGUUUAUGGUUUAUCUGGAAGUUUCUAUUGUCACUCUGAGAGACCAUGAAUGUGUGUGUUCAUGUGAGUGUGAAUGAUUUCCCUGCUCGCUCUGUGUGUUUGUAUUAAAAUGAGAUCAUCCACACAGUGAAGUGAGGUGACAGAGGUGGCUAAAUAUACAUCAGUCAUCACAGACAAGAGAUAACAGCGUACAGAGACCCUGAAUGCAGGGGGAGACUGCAGGCUGCAUAUUGUGCAGGGAAGUGUGAGACCUCUCUGGCCCCUGAGCACAUAGUUUUGAAAGUGCACGCUGCAGAUUUUCUGUGCAACACCUUAUGGACCCAUGCCUUUUAGCCUCCUCUUCUUCUCUUAUGGAAACGGGAGAGCAGAGGGAGGCAGAGCAUACUAACUUGGCUCUGCAGUGUCUCUUUUUUUUGCUAGUUGCAUGUGAUGAAUGCGAGAAACUAGCAUGAGGUGGGAUGGUUGUGGGAUGCCAGAUGCUCUACAUUUUGCACAUUCAGCAUCGACUCAGAAGUUUGACAGCUAACUACGACUGUGGGAAAGAGCAGGCAAAAGAGAAAACCUGGUUUAGUGUUACAACAUGCAAAUUCUACAGAGAAAAGCCAUCACUGGAUUCAAACCCCUUGCUCUAAAGCUGCACCACUGUAGAGCCCUUGACUUCAACCAACUUGUAUUUACACAGGAAGCUGAGGCAGCCACACCACACCUUUAACUUUGCAUAUUUUUCCAUAACAUAUUAACUAAGAAUAAUAUUUUGCUCUGUUUUAUCUCAGAAAUCUAACAUUUAGACAUGCCUCUGUCAGUUACUUCGCCUGGUGCCCCCCCUAAAAUCUGAAUUUUUACUCAGAAAGCUGUAACAACUUAAGGUAACCCAAGCUCAAA
Molecule: non-coding RNA, 5605 nt
Organism: Xyrichtys novacula (pearly razorfish)
Lineage: Eukaryota; Metazoa; Chordata; Actinopteri; Labriformes; Labridae
Source: the annotation of a GenBank genome assembly